Molecule: ribosomal RNA, 253 nt
Filed under: uncultured bacterium
Lineage: Bacteria
Description: partial 16S ribosomal RNA
Rfam family: Bacterial small subunit ribosomal RNA
Source: RNAcentral
UACGGAGGGGGCUAGCGUUGUUCGGAAUUACUGGGCGUAAAGCGCGCGUAGGCGGACCUGCAAGUCGGGGGUGAAAGCCCGAGGCUCAACCUCGGAACUGCCUUCGAUACUGCGGGUCUCGAGUCCGGGAGAGGUGAGUGGAAUUCCUAGUGUAGAGGUGAAAUUCGCAGAUAUUAGGAAGAACACCAGUGGCGAAGGCGGCUCACUGGCCCGGUACUGACGCUGAGGCGCGAAAGCGUGGGGAGCAAACAGG